Small nuclear RNA from Alexandromys fortis (reed vole), 105 nucleotides. Lineage: Eukaryota; Metazoa; Chordata; Mammalia; Rodentia; Cricetidae. The record is from RefSeq and is a predicted model, not a curated record.
GUGCUCGCUUCGGCAGCACAUAUACUAAAAUUGGAACGAUACAGAGAAGAUUAGCAUGGCCCCUGCGCAAGGAAAGGAAUUCGAGGCAUAAAAGAAUAGAGUUAA